Molecule: ribosomal RNA, 253 nt
Filed under: uncultured bacterium
Lineage: Bacteria
Description: partial 16S ribosomal RNA
Rfam family: Bacterial small subunit ribosomal RNA
Source: RNAcentral
UACAGAGGUCCCGAGCGUUGUUCGGAUUCACUGGGCGUAAAGGGUGCGUAGGUGGCCUGAAAAGUUUGAUGUGAAAGCUCAGGGCUUAACCCUGAAAUGGCAUUGAAUACUGUCGGGCUGGAGGUUUGGAGGGGGGACUGGAAUUUACGGUGUAGCGGUGAAAUGCGUAGAUAUCGUAAGGAAGACCAGUGGCGAAGGCGGGUCUCUGGACAGUUCCUGACGCUGAGGCACGAAGGCCAGGGGAGCAAACGGG